RNAcentral lists this ribosomal RNA (319 nucleotides) under uncultured eukaryote. RNAcentral describes it as "partial 18S ribosomal RNA". It matches the Rfam family "Eukaryotic small subunit ribosomal RNA", at positions 1470 to 1796 of the family's 1831-position model. The record is from RNAcentral.
CCCUUAGAUGUCCUGGGCCGCACGCGUGCUACACUGACGCCUACAGCGAGUACUUCCCAGCCCCGAGAGGUGGCUGGUAAUCAGCAAUAGGCGUCGUGAUGGGGAUAGAUCUUUGGAAUUAUGGAUCUUGAACGAGGAAUGCCUAGUAAGCGCAGGUCAUUAGCCUGCGCUGAUUAAGUCCCUGCCCUUUGUACACACCGCCCGUCGCUCCUACCGAUUUCGAGUGGUCCGGUGAAUCUUUCGGACUGCGCGCGGCCUCGUGCCGUGUCGCGGAAAGUCAGGUAAACCUUAUCACUUAGAGGAAGGAGAANUCGUAACA